GGGGUUGUGGCUCAGAGGUAGAGUGCUCACCUGUCAAGCGUGAGGCACUGGGUUCAAUCCUCAGCACCA
Molecule: transfer RNA, 69 nt
Filed under: Urocitellus parryii (Arctic ground squirrel)
Lineage: Eukaryota; Metazoa; Chordata; Mammalia; Rodentia; Sciuridae
Also listed under: 1 other name
Description: Spermophilus parryii (Arctic ground squirrel) tRNA
Rfam family: tRNA
About the family: Transfer RNA (tRNA) molecules are approximately 80 nucleotides in length. Their secondary structure includes four short double-helical elements and three loops (D, anti-codon, and T loops).
Source: Rfam by way of RNAcentral